GAGAGAAGCCCGCUGGCACUAAAGACUGCUAAUCUUUUCCCUCCAUGGUUAAACCCCCUGGUUCCCUCG
Molecule: transfer RNA, 69 nt
Filed under: Dallia pectoralis (Alaska blackfish)
Lineage: Eukaryota; Metazoa; Chordata; Actinopteri; Esociformes; Umbridae
Description: tRNA-Ser
Source: RNAcentral